CGACUUGUUUAAUGUCACCAGCUUGGAAAGCUAUUCAUUCACACGUCAGUAAAACCAUUACCUCGCAUCAACCUUUCACGAUUUCACGUACCUUGAAGAAGCUGCAGCUGUUUCAGGCUGUCCGAUAGCUCAGCUAAAACGCGUAGUUAGUAAAUCGGCUUUCACUUUCUUUAACAAAAACAGUAAAAACAAACUAACCCUUCUUGUGGUCUGAUGACGAUGUUGAGGAUACUGAGUCAGGGGACGGAUGUUCCAUUCCCGUUUCUUUCUGUCUCUUGCAACUAAACCGAUUGUUUUGUCAAUCAAUGCUGCAAAUUGGAAGAAGCCAAGUUAUGUCGGUUCAUCACUUAUGGUUUCCAAACACAAUGAUGUCAGGUUGUCCUAUCCCCAAAAUUGUACACUACCCGUAUCAGUCUAUUUACCCUAGUUACAGAGCUCUAACGAACACUCACUAAUAUUCAUAGGAAAAAAAAUCCAAAAAAAAUCAUUCGAGUGAUACUUAUUCGUGGCUCAUUCUCAUUUUUGUUCGUUACUAUGACGGUCAGAUCUUCAUAAAAAAGUCCUCACGAUGUUUUGAGAGCCCGCAUAUUUGGCACUAUGGCGUAAACAAGCAUCGCUACAACUUUGACCAUAAAAUCAUAACUGUCGGAAGGAAAAAAAUUUAUCGAAAGAACGGUUGGACUGGAUGGGAUUCAGUGGAUUCCUUUUGACCAUCGUUUCCAUGAUGCAGCGCAUAUAGUUUCAAGAAUAAAAGGCUACAUUCAGCAGAGUUGUUGAUGUGCACUUGAGUUUUUAGUAAAUAAAGUUCCCUAGUAAUAAAAUAAUCGUGGAUUCGGCAAGAUCACCUUUAUUUGCUAACUUUGUGUCAUUGUUUACCGGUGAGUUGACAGUAUGACAAAUUGGGGACGAGAUUCCGGCAUCUCUCCUUAUUAACAGCAUAGCCCUUAAGUAUGCACAGUCGACGAUACUUGCGGCGGAUCAGUGAAUCUCUGGAGUACGUAAAUCGUCGAUUGUACACAGUACAGUUGAUGUAUGGCCAAAAGUGAAUGCGGGCAGUGAAAUGAUAACUGUGAAAAGUUGCUUUUUCCAUUGUAAAAUGACGAUUCAUUAUUAGCACUCAAUUUGAAGGGUGUCUUACAACAUUAGACUUUAUUAAAAAGUUUGCUGCAAAACGUUCCGUUUAAAGCAAUAUGUUUGUCCUUUCUUCAACGAUCCAUCUAACCCUCUUAGUUGUUAAAUCGUAACAAAUGUUCAUAAAAUUUGAGCUAUGAUUUUAUGACAUUUUAAAUGCUUUUACGUGUUUCUGUGUUUCUAGCUAUCAAUUGUUUAAAGAAAAGUCGGACAGAGAGGUUUCAGGUAGACAAUCCUUCAUCGAGGGAAUGACAGUUGAUUUCGCCUGUCACUCAGAAAUGAAAACCGUAUCAGAAAUACCUUUCUAUGGUAAAAUUAAGUACUAUGACCGCUUUGUAUAUUACGGACAAUAAAAUAUGUGUUUAAACGGUUAAUAAGGAGGUUCAUUACCAGUUUUAGUUUCAAUUCAUAUCAUCCAUUUCUGUAUAUCAAAUUCGCAUCACCGCAUA
This 1580-nucleotide long non-coding RNA is filed under the name Schizosaccharomyces pombe (fission yeast). Lineage: Eukaryota; Fungi; Ascomycota; Schizosaccharomycetes; Schizosaccharomycetales; Schizosaccharomycetaceae. The record is from RNAcentral.